AUACGGAGGAUCCGAGCGUUAUCCGGAUUUAUUGGGUUUAAAGGGUGCGCAGGCGGGAGAUUAAGUCGGCGGUGAAAUUUUGCAGCUCCACUGUAAAAGUGCCUUCGGAACUGGUUUUCUUUAGUGUAGAUGAAGUAGGCGGAAUUUGUGGGGUAGCGGUGAAAUGCAUAGAUAUCACGAGGAAAUCCGAUUGCGCAGGCAGCUUACUAAACUACUACUGACGCUCAGGCACGAAGGCGUGGGGAUCAAACAGGAUUAGAUACCCUGGUAGUCCACGCAGUAAACGAUGAUUACUAGCUGUUUGCGAUACAAUGUAAGCGGCUGAGCGAAAGCGUUAAGUAAUCCACCUGGGGAGUACGUUCGCAAGAAUGAAACUCAAAGGAAUUGACGGGG
Molecule: ribosomal RNA, 393 nt
Filed under: uncultured bacterium
Lineage: Bacteria
Description: partial 16S ribosomal RNA
Rfam family: Bacterial small subunit ribosomal RNA
Source: RNAcentral